This 484-nucleotide ribosomal RNA is filed under the name uncultured bacterium. RNAcentral describes it as "partial 16S ribosomal RNA". It matches the Rfam family "Bacterial small subunit ribosomal RNA", at positions 30 to 507 of the family's 1533-position model. The record is from RNAcentral.
AUUGAACGCUGGCGGCAGGCCUAACACAUGCAAGUCGAGCGGAUGAAGGGAGCUUGCUCCUGGAUUCAGCGGCGGACGGGUGAGUAAUGCCUAGGAAUCUGCCUGGUAGUGGGGGAUAACGUCCGGAAACGGGCGCUAAUACCGCAUACGUCCUGAGGGAGAAAGUGGGGGAUCUUCGGACCUCACGCUAUCAGAUGAGCCUAGGUCGGAUUAGCUAGUUGGUGGGGUAAAGGCCUACCAGGGCGACGAUCCGUAACUGGUCUGAGAGGAUGAUCAGUCACACUGGAACUGAGACACGGUCCAGACUCCUACGGGAGGCAGCAGUGGGGAAUAUUGGACAAUGGGCGAAAGCCUGAUCCAGCCAUGCCGCGUGUGUGAAGAAGGUCUUCGGAUUGUAAAGCACUUUAAGUUGGGAGGAAGGGCAGUAAGUUAAUACCUUGCUGUUUUGACGUUACCAACAGAAUAAGCACCGGCUAACUUCGCG